AGUAAUGUCUGGGAAACUGCCUGAUGGAGGGGGAUAACUACUGGAAACGGUAGCUAAUACCGCAUAACGUCGCAAGACCAAAGUGGGGGACCGUUCGGGCCUCAUGCCAUCAGAUGUGCCCAGAUGGGAUUAGCUAGUAGGUGGGGUAACGGCUCACCUAGGCGACGAUCCCUAGCUGGUCUGAGAGGAUGACCAGCCACACUGGAACUGAGACACGGUCCAG
Molecule: ribosomal RNA, 223 nt
Filed under: uncultured bacterium
Lineage: Bacteria
Description: partial 16S ribosomal RNA
Rfam family: Bacterial small subunit ribosomal RNA
Source: RNAcentral